GUGACCCAGCAGUGACUCCUGCCUCCGGUGCCGGGCCCACCCCUCGACUGGCGGAAGUGAUGUGCCCGGAAUUCUGCAUGCCCAGCCUGAGUCAGCGCUUGAGCACAAGAUCACGUCGUCUUUUGGGGUUAUGUUCAAAACCAUCACCUGGGGGCCGUAUCUUCAUCUCAGCUCUCCUGGUGACCUCCUACAAAUUUCCCUGCUUCGCUGGGCCAGGGGAGGGCAAGGUGGGCCCCUGGCUCCCGCACAUCCUCAAGCCAGCCACCCUGGGGAAGAGCUAA
RNAcentral lists this long non-coding RNA (281 nucleotides) under Cervus hanglu yarkandensis (Yarkand deer). RNAcentral's name for it is "lncRNA (ENSCHYG00000018793.1)". Lineage: Eukaryota; Metazoa; Chordata; Mammalia; Artiodactyla; Cervidae. The record is from RNAcentral.